AAUGAAUUGCCUGAUAAAAGGAUUACUUUGAUAGAGUAAAUCAUAUAAUAAAUAUUAUAUUCAUUA
Molecule: transfer RNA, 66 nt
Filed under: Volucella latifasciata
Lineage: Eukaryota; Metazoa; Arthropoda; Insecta; Diptera; Syrphidae
Description: tRNA-Ile
Source: RNAcentral